Molecule: long non-coding RNA, 832 nt
Filed under: Pan troglodytes (chimpanzee)
Lineage: Eukaryota; Metazoa; Chordata; Mammalia; Primates; Hominidae
Description: lincRNA
Source: RNAcentral
AUCUACUUGACCUCCUCACAGUCUCCCUUUCUAUAGUGCAAGCUCGACUAGACAGUUUUGACAAUAGUGAUAUUAAGGCUCUGCUUGGUGCCAUGCAAUCUGCAUUUGGGGUGCCAGCUAGCCACAGGACUCAUCUGGAAAAAAAACAACCGCCCAACCCUGAGAACUUUGGGAUUCAUGGGAAAUUACAGUUCCCCUGAUGAUGCAGGACCGGACCAGGAUUUCACUCAUCAACUGGCCUAGAUUAAGGAGAAAGAAAUCUACAUUUCUGAACCUGGUAAUGUCUGAGCAUAGUCAUGGAAGAAAGAGCUGGCCUAUAAGUGUCCAUUAAGAACACAAUAAAAUAUCUUCAUGAAUGAUCCUCCAUUUGGAAACAAAUGCAUUUGGAUGAGGGACCAUCUCUCGAAGCUAAGGAUUAAAAUAUCGCUUCAGUACCACAAAGAAAUUAGGCUGUUCCUUUUGGAGUGUUUUAACAGUUAGCUGAGUGCUCCUCAGGAAGAAGCCACAUACCCGGAGCGUAACCAGGAGACAGUCAUGGAACCGUAACGCAGACCAUGGACUGCAGCAGCUUAGUUUGGAGCUGGGUCAAACCUCACAGUAAGGCUCCAUCUCAGGCCUGGCUGCAAAGUCAACAUCUCUCUGCAUCCAUGUUUUCACAUUUACCUUUCUGGAGUGGCAAUAGGAAAAUGUUUCCCUAAAAGAAAAGACAGUGAUGCUUUCAUCGAAAGAAAAAGUAAAGAACUAUUGUGUGUGCCUAACCAAUCUUACAGGGGAGAAAAGAUUUAUAUUAUCUUGAAAACAUAAUUUGGUCUUGUUCAGGCCAUUGGGGGAG